CAGCAGCCGCGGUAAUACGUAGGGGGCUAGCGUUGUUCGGAAUUAUUGGGCGUAAAGGGCGUGUAGGCGGUUGUGUAAGCCUGAUGUGAAAUCCUGCGGCUUAACUGUAGUGUUGCAUCUGGAACUGGGUAACUUGAGUCCCCGAGGGGAAACUAGAAUUCCUAGUGUAGGGGUGGAAUCUGUAGAUAUCUGGAAGAAUACCCGUGGCGAAAGCGAGCUUCUGGAUGAUUAUUGACGCUGAUGUGCGAAAGUGCGGGGAGCAAACAGGAUUAGAUACCCUGGUAGUCCUCACCGUAAACUAUGUACACUUGGUGUAGGGGCAAUCGACCCUCUGUGUGACCUAACGCACUAAUUAUCCCGCCUGGGGAGUACGGACGCACGGUUGAAACUCAAAGGAAUUGACGG
This 405-nucleotide ribosomal RNA is filed under the name uncultured bacterium. RNAcentral's name for it is "bacterial SSU rRNA". It matches the Rfam family "Bacterial small subunit ribosomal RNA", at positions 509 to 916 of the family's 1533-position model. The record is from RNAcentral.